UGGGGAAUAUUGGACAAUGGGCGCAAGCCUGAUCCAGCCAUGCCGCGUGAGUGACGAAGGUCUUCGGAUUGUAAAACUCUUUUGGCGGGGACGAUAAUGACGGUACCCGCAGAAGAAGCCCCGGCUAACUACGUGCCAGCAGCCGCGGUAAUACGUAGGGGGCAAGCGUUGUCCGGAAUCAUUGGGCGUAAAGCGCGUGUAGGUGGCUUGGUAAGUCCGGUGUGAAACCUUGGGGCUCAACCCCAAGCCUGCAUCGGAUACUGCCUCGCUCGAGUUCGGGAGGGGAGAGCGGAAUUCCUAGUGUAGCGGUGAAAUGCGCAGAUAUUAGGAAGAACACCGGUGGCGAAGGCGGCUCUCUGGAACGAUACUGACACUGAGACGCGAAAGCGUGGGUAGCGAACAGGAUUAGAUACCCCUGUAGUCCCUGAG
Molecule: ribosomal RNA, 429 nt
Filed under: uncultured bacterium
Lineage: Bacteria
Description: bacterial SSU rRNA
Rfam family: Bacterial small subunit ribosomal RNA
Source: RNAcentral